Jaculus jaculus (lesser Egyptian jerboa) is the source of this 112-nucleotide small nuclear RNA. NCBI's taxonomy places the organism in Eukaryota, Metazoa, Chordata, Mammalia, Rodentia, Dipodidae. The record is from Ensembl.
GUGCUCACUUCAGCAGCAUAUAUACUAAAAUUUGGAAUGCUACGGAGAAGAUUAGCAUGACCCCUGCACAAGGAUGACAUACAUGCUAACUCAUCAAGUGUUCCAUAAUUUU